ACGGAAGGAGCAGUGGGGAAUAUUGCACAAUGGGGGAAACCCUGAUGCAGCAACGCCGCGUGAGUGAAGAAGUAUUUCGGUAUGUAAAGCUCUAUCAGCAGGGAAGAAAAUGACGGUACCUGACUAAGAAGCCCCGGCUAACUACGUGCCAGCAGCCGCGGUAAUACGUAGGGGGCAAGCGUUAUCCGGAUUUACUGGGUGUAAAGGGAGCGUAGACGGCGAAGCAAGUCUGAAGUGAAAGCCCACGGCUCAACCGUGGAACUGCUUUGGAAACUGUUUUGCUAGAGUGCAGGAGGGGCAGGCGGAAUUCCUAGUGUAGCGGUGAAAUGCGUAGAUAUUAGGAGGAACACCGGUGGCGAAGGCGGCCUGCUGGACUGUAACUGACGUUGAGGCUCGAAAGCGUGGGGAGCAAACAGGAUUAGAUACCCUGGUA
This 433-nucleotide ribosomal RNA is filed under the name uncultured Clostridium sp. RNAcentral describes it as "partial 16S ribosomal RNA". It matches the Rfam family "Bacterial small subunit ribosomal RNA", at positions 341 to 792 of the family's 1533-position model. The record is from RNAcentral. Lineage: Bacteria; Bacillati; Bacillota; Clostridia; Eubacteriales; Clostridiaceae.